Molecule: ribosomal RNA, 497 nt
Filed under: uncultured bacterium
Lineage: Bacteria
Description: partial 16S ribosomal RNA
Rfam family: Bacterial small subunit ribosomal RNA
Source: RNAcentral
GAUGAACGCUGGCGGCGUGCCUAAUACAUGCAAGUCGAGCGAACGGACGAGAAGCUUGCUUCUCUGAUGUUAGCGGCGGACGGGUGAGUAACACGUGGAUAACCUACCUAUAAGACUGGGAUAACUUCGGGAAACCGGAGCUAAUACCGGAUGAUAUUUUGAACCGCAUGGUUCAAAAGUGAAAGACGGUCUUGCUGUCACUUAUAGAUGGAUCCGCGCUGCAUUAGCUAGUUGGUAAGGUAACGGCUUAACAAGGCAACGAUGCAUAGCCGACCUGAGAGGGUGAUCGGCCACACUGGAACUGAGACAGGGUCCAGACUCCGACGGGGGGCAGCAGUAGGGAAUCUUCCGCAAUGGGGGAAAGCCUGACGGAGGAACGCCGCGUGAGUGAUGAAGGUCUUCGGAUCGUAAAACUCUGUUAGUAGGGAAGAACAUAUGUGUAAGUAACUGUGCACAUCUUGACGGUACCUAAUCAGAAAGCCACGGCUAACUACGUG